Molecule: ribosomal RNA, 181 nt
Filed under: uncultured Pelotomaculum sp.
Lineage: Bacteria; Bacillati; Bacillota; Clostridia; Eubacteriales; Desulfotomaculaceae
Description: partial 16S ribosomal RNA
Rfam family: Bacterial small subunit ribosomal RNA
Source: RNAcentral
UGUUCUGGGCUACACACGUGCUACAAUGGCCGGUACAGACGGAGGCGAAGCCGCGAGGCGGAGCAAAUCCGAAAAAAGCCGGUCUCAGUUCGGAUUGCAGGCUGCAAUUCGCCUGCAUGAGGUCGGAAUCGCUAGUAAUCGCAGGUCAGCAUACUGCGGUGAAUACCGGUUCCCGGGCCUU